GACGAACGCUGGCGGCGUGCCUAAUACAUGCAAGUCGAACGAGAGCGACCGGUGCUUGCACUGGUCAAUCUAGUGGCGAACGGGUGAGUAACACGUGGGUAACCUGCCCAUCAGAGGGGGAUAACAUCCGGAAACGGAUGCUAAAACCGCAUAGGUCUUCGAGCCGCAUGGCUUGAAGAGGAAAAGAGGCGCAAGCUUCUGCUGAUGGAUGGACCCGCGGUGCAUUAGCCAGUUGGUGAGGUAACGGCUCACCAAGGCCGUGAUGCAUAGCCGACCUGAGAGGGUGAUCGGCCACAUUGGGACUGAGACACGGCCCAAACUCCUACGGGAGGCAGCAGUAGGGAAUCUUCCGCAAUGGACGCAAGUCUGACGGAGCAACGCCGCGUGAGUGAAGAAGGUUUUCGGAUCGUAAAACUCUGUUGUUAGAGAAGAACAAGUGCUAGAGUAACUGUUAGCGCCUUGACGGUAUCUAACCAGAAAGCCACGGCUAACUACGUG
RNAcentral lists this ribosomal RNA (498 nucleotides) under uncultured bacterium. RNAcentral's name for it is "partial 16S ribosomal RNA". It matches the Rfam family "Bacterial small subunit ribosomal RNA", at positions 28 to 507 of the family's 1533-position model. The record is from RNAcentral.